AGUGAACGCUGGCGGUAGGCCUAACACAUGCAAGUCGAGCGGCCGCACAGUAAGAUCUUUCUCUUACUGUUGGCGACUGACGGACGGGUGACGCAUACAUCGCAUUCUACUUUUUCGUGGGUGAUAACGUAGGGACACUUACGCUAAUACCUCAUACUUCCUACCGCUGAAAUCAGAAGUUCUUCGGACCUUUCGUGUUUCAUUUAGCUGAUGUCGGAUUAGCUAGUUGGCGUGGUAAAGGCCCACCAAGGCGACGAUGCGUAGCUGAUCUGAGAGGAUGAUCAGCCACACUGGAACUGAGACACGGUCCAGACUCCUACGGGAGGCAGCAGUAGGGAAUAUUGCGCAAUGGGCGAAAGCCUGACGGAGCAACACCGCGUGAGUGAAGAAGGUCUUCGGAUUGUAAAACCCUGUUGUUGGGAAAGAAAAGAGGUAUGUGAAAACGUGGAUGUUCUGACGGUACCCAAAGAAUAAGCAACGGCUAACUACGUG
RNAcentral lists this ribosomal RNA (492 nucleotides) under uncultured bacterium. Its description in RNAcentral is "partial 16S ribosomal RNA". It matches the Rfam family "Bacterial small subunit ribosomal RNA", at positions 29 to 507 of the family's 1533-position model. The record is from RNAcentral.